RNAcentral lists this ribosomal RNA (2925 nucleotides) under Escherichia coli. Its description in RNAcentral is "bacterial LSU rRNA". It matches the Rfam family "Bacterial large subunit ribosomal RNA". Lineage: Bacteria; Pseudomonadati; Pseudomonadota; Gammaproteobacteria; Enterobacterales; Enterobacteriaceae. The record is from RNAcentral.
GGGUUGUGAGGUUAAGCGACUAAGCGUACACGGUGGAUGCCCUGGCAGUCAGAGGCGAUGAAGGACGUGCUAAUCUGCGAUAAGCGUCGGUGAGGUGAUAUGAACCGUUAUAACCGGCGAUUUCCGAAUGGGGAAACCCAGUGUGAUUCGACACACUAUCAUUAACUGAAUCCAUAGGUUAAUGAGGCGAACCGGGGGAACUGAAACAUCUAAGUACCCCGAGGAAAAGAAAUCAACCGAGAUUCCCCCAGUAGCGGCGAGCGAACGGGGAGGAGCCCAGAGCCUGAAUCAGUGUGUGUGUUAGUGGAAGCGUCUGGAAAGGCGCGCGAUACAGGGUGACAGCCCCGUACACAAAAAUGCACAUAUUGUGAGCUCGAUGAGUAGGGCGGGACACGUGGUAUCCUGUCUGAAUAUGGGGGGACCAUCCUCCAAGGCUAAAUACUCCUGACUGACCGAUAGUGAACCAGUACCGUGAGGGAAAGGCGAAAAGAACCCCGGCGAGGGGAGUGAAAAAGAACCUGAAACCGUGUACGUACAAGCAGUGGGAGCCUCUUAAUGGGGUGACUGCGUACCUUUUGUAUAAUGGGUCAGCGACUUAUAUUCUGUAGCAAGGUUAACCGAAUAGGGGAGCCGAAGGGAAACCGAGUCUUAACUGGGCGUUAAGUUGCAGGGUAUAGACCCGAAACCCGGUGAUCUAGCCAUGGGCAGGUUGAAGGUUGGGUAACACUAACUGGAGGACCGAACCGACUAAUGUUGAAAAAUUAGCGGAUGACUUGUGGCUGGGGGUGAAAGGCCAAUCAAACCGGGAGAUAGCUGGUUCUCCCCGAAAGCUAUUUAGGUAGCGCCUCGUGAAUUCAUCUCCGGGGGUAGAGCACUGUUUCGGCAAGGGGGUCAUCCCGACUUACCAACCCGAUGCAAACUGCGAAUACCGGAGAAUGUUAUCACGGGAGACACACGGCGGGUGCUAACGUCCGUCGUGAAGAGGGAAACAACCCAGACCGCCAGCUAAGGUCCCAAAGUCAUGGUUAAGUGGGAAACGAUGUGGGAAGGCCCAGACAGCCAGGAUGUUGGCUUAGAAGCAGCCAUCAUUUAAAGAAAGCGUAAUAGCUCACUGGUCGAGUCGGCCUGCGCGGAAGAUGUAACGGGGCUAAACCAUGCACCGAAGCUGCGGCAGCGACACUAUGUGUUGUUGGGUAGGGGAGCGUUCUGUAAGCCUGUGAAGGUGGCCUGUGAGGGUUGCUGGAGGUAUCAGAAGUGCGAAUGCUGACAUAAGUAACGAUAAAGCGGGUGAAAAGCCCGCUCGCCGGAAGACCAAGGGUUCCUGUCCAACGUUAAUCGGGGCAGGGUGAGUCGACCCCUAAGGCGAGGCCGAAAGGCGUAGUCGAUGGGAAACAGGUUAAUAUUCCUGUACUUGGUGUUACUGCGAAGGGGGGACGGAGAAGGCUAUGUUGGCCGGGCGACGGUUGUCCCGGUUUAAGCGUGUAGGCUGGUUUUCCAGGCAAAUCCGGAAAAUCAAGGCUGAGGCGUGAUGACGAGGCACUACGGUGCUGAAGCGACAAAUGCCCUGCUUCCAGGAAAAGCCUCUAAGCAUCAGGUAACAUCAAAUCGUACCCCAAACCGACACAGGUGGUCAGGUAGAGAAUACCAAGGCGCUUGAGAGAACUCGGGUGAAGGAACUAGGCAAAAUGGUGCCGUAACUUCGGGAGAAGGCACGCUGAUAUGUAGGUGAAGCGACUUGCUCGUGGAGCUGAAAUCAGUCGAAGAUACCAGCUGGCUGCAACUGUUUAUUAAAAACACAGCACUGUGCAAACACGAAAGUGGACGUAUACGGUGUGACGCCUGCCCGGUGCCGGAAGGUUAAUUGAUGGGGUUAGCGGUAACGCGAAGCUCUUGAUCGAAGCCCCGGUAAACGGCGGCCGUAACUAUAACGGUCCUAAGGUAGCGAAAUUCCUUGUCGGGUAAGUUCCGACCUGCACGAAUGGCGUAAUGAUGGCCAGGCUGUCUCCACCCGAGACUCAGUGAAAUUGAACUCGCUGUGAAGAUGCAGUGUACCCGCGGCAAGACGGAAAGACCCCGUGAACCUUUACUAUAGCUUGACACUGAACAUUGAGCCUUGAUGUGUAGGAUAGGUGGGAGGCUUUGAAGUGUGGACGCCAGUCUGCAUGGAGCCGACCUUGAAAUACCACCCUUUAAUGUUUGAUGUUCUAACGUGGGCCCCUUACCGGGGUUGCGGACAGUGUCUGGUGGGUAGUUUGACUGGGGCGGUCUCCUCCUAAAGAGUAACGGAGGAGCACGAAGGUUGGCUAAUCCUGGUCGGACAUCAGGAGGUUAGUGCAAUGGCAUAAGCCAGCUUGACUGCGAGCGUGACGGCGCGAGCAGGUGCGAAAGCAGGUCAUAGUGAUCCGGUGGUUCUGAAUGGAAGGGCCAUCGCUCAACGGAUAAAAGGUACUCCGGGGAUAACAGGCUGAUACCGCCCAAGAGUUCAUAUCGACGGCGGUGUUUGGCACCUCGAUGUCGGCUCAUCACAUCCUGGGGCUGAAGUAGGUCCCAAGGGUAUGGCUGUUCGCCAUUUAAAGUGGUACGCGAGCUGGGUUUAGAACGUCGUGAGACAGUUCGGUCCCUAUCUGCCGUGGGCGCUGGAGAACUGAGGGGGGCUGCUCCUAGUACGAGAGGACCGGAGUGGACGCAUCACUGGUGUUCGGGUUGUCAUGCCAAUGGCACUGCCCGGUAGCUAAAUGCGGAAGAGAUAAGUGCUGAAAGCAUCUAAGCACGAAACUUGCCCCGAGAUGAGUUCUCCCUGACUCCUUGAGAGUCCUGAAGGAACGUUGAAGACGACGACGUUGAUAGGCCGGGUGUGUAAGCGCAGCGAUGCGUUGAGCUAACCGGUACUAAUGAACCGUGAGGCUUAACCUUACAACGCCGAAG